UACGUAGGGUGCGAGCGUUAAUCGGAAUUACUGGGCGUAAAGCGUGCGCAGGCGGUUCGUUAUGUCCGAUGUGAAAGCCCCGAGCUUAACUUGGGAAUGGCAUUGGAAACUGGCGGGCUGGAGUGCGGCAGAGGGGGGUGGAAUUCCACGUGUAGCAGUGAAAUGCGUAGAGAUGUGGAGGAACACCGAUGGCGAAGGCAGCCCCCUGGGCCGACACUGACGCUCAGGCACGAAAGCGUGGGGAGCAAACGGG
This 253-nucleotide ribosomal RNA is filed under the name uncultured bacterium. Its description in RNAcentral is "partial 16S ribosomal RNA". It matches the Rfam family "Bacterial small subunit ribosomal RNA", at positions 524 to 776 of the family's 1533-position model. The record is from RNAcentral.